Molecule: ribosomal RNA, 475 nt
Filed under: uncultured bacterium
Lineage: Bacteria
Description: bacterial SSU rRNA
Rfam family: Bacterial small subunit ribosomal RNA
Source: RNAcentral
GAUGAACGCUGGCGGCGUGCUUAACACAUGCAAGUCGAACGAAGCAUUUUAAACAGAUUAUUUCGGUAUGAAGUUUUUAAUGACUGAGUGGCGGACGGGUGAGUAACGCGUGGGUAACCUGCCUUAUACAGGGGGAUAGCAGCUGGAAACGGCUGGUAAUACCGCAUAAGCGCACAGCAUCGCAUGAUGAAGUGUGAAAAACUGAGGUGGUAUAAGAUGGACCCGCGUCUGAUUAGCUAGUUGGUGAGAUAACAGCCCACCAAGGCGACGAUCAGUAGCCGACCUGAGAGGGUGACCGGCCACAUUGGGACUGAGACACGGCCCAGACUCCUACGGGAGGCAGCAGUGGGGAAUAUUGCACAAUGGAGGAAACUCUGAUGCAGCGACGCCGCGUGAGUGAAGAAGUAGUUCGCUAUGUAAAGCUCUAUCAGCAGGGAAGAUAGUGACGGUACCUGACUAAGAAGCUCCGGCUAAA